Molecule: ribosomal RNA, 205 nt
Filed under: uncultured bacterium
Lineage: Bacteria
Description: partial 16S ribosomal RNA
Rfam family: Bacterial small subunit ribosomal RNA
Source: RNAcentral
UCAGUUCGGAUCGGAGUCUGCAACCCGACUCCGUGAAGCUGGAUUCGCUAGUAAUCGCGCAUCAGCCACGGCGCGGUGAAUACGUUCCCGGGCCUUGUACACACCGCCCGUCAAGCCAUGGAAGCCGGGAGUGCCUGAAGUGCGUGAGCGCAAGCAGCGCCCUAAGGUAAAACCGGUGACUGGGGCUAAGUCGUAACAAGGUAUC